This 253-nucleotide ribosomal RNA is filed under the name uncultured bacterium. RNAcentral's name for it is "partial 16S ribosomal RNA". It matches the Rfam family "Bacterial small subunit ribosomal RNA", at positions 524 to 776 of the family's 1533-position model. The record is from RNAcentral.
UACGUAGGGGGCAAGCGUUGUCCGGAUUUAUUGGGCGUAAAGAGCGCGCAGGCGGUCUAUCAAGUCAGAUGUGAAAUAUCCGGGCUUAACCCGGAGGGGUCAUUUGAAACUGGUAGACUAGAGUACAGCAGAGGAUAGCGGAAUUCCCGGUGUAGUGGUGAAAUGCGUAGAUAUCGGGAGGAACACCAGUGGCGAAGGCGGCUAUCUGGGCUGAAACUGACGCUGAGGCGCGAAGGCUAGGGGAGCAAACAGG